This is a long non-coding RNA of Condylura cristata (star-nosed mole), 2674 nucleotides long. RefSeq lists it as uncharacterized. NCBI's taxonomy places the organism in Eukaryota, Metazoa, Chordata, Mammalia, Eulipotyphla, Talpidae. The record is from RefSeq and is a predicted model, not a curated record. The transcript is spliced from 3 exons.
UGGCUAGGUGGGUGGUGCUGCUGGGGGCCCCAGUUGGAGGGAAAGGCACCCCGCUUUGGGGAGCCGGACUACCUCUUACUCCCCGACCGCCCCCCUCGCUUAAGAAAAGUAGGCCGGAGGCGCAGAGGUAUCCCACAGUUCGGGGUCCAGCGCGUCCCUGCUGCCAGAACUCCAGGAAGUGAGAGCAGGGUCUCCAAGACCUGCUAGCAAGGCAAGGCCGCUUUGGGCUCCACUGUGCAUUUCCUGUGGGAAGGGUGGUGGCAGCCCUGCUCUGCUGGGGAGGUUUCCCAGAGUUUGUCAUCAGCAUCGGGUCCUAUCCUCUGGGCCAGGAUCCGUGACCCCCUCCUCUCCAUUUGCAUUCUUGUCAUCCCAGGUACCUCUCAUGUUCAUGCUUGCCCUCUCCACCAGCUUCUUCCUAGUGACAUUCAAAUGUGCUAGUGUUCACUUCCCAAACUGUUUCCAAAUGGCCUUUUCCUACCUGUGUCCCUGGUACCCAGAGAAAAUACACUUGGCACUCAGAUUUAGCAUGUCCAAGGCAGAGCCCCACUCUCCAGCAGCUCCCACUACUCAUCUACCUUUCCAGAGUGGUGCCUGGAAAACUGCCUCGGCUUCCCAGACUUCACCACAUCCUGGCAACUUUCCCUUGACAUCUCAUGUACAUUUCUUCACCCCCCACCCCCAAUCGCAUUUCCUCCUCCCUAGCCCAGGCCCUCCUCCUCCCUCCCUCUGGAAUGCUGGAAACCACCUCUAGUUCUUCAGCUCCAGGCUCUCCUUGCCUAGUCACCACUGUAACCCUUUGCCAUAUUCUAACUACCUGAUUUAAACAUGGUCUCCCUUUCAUCUUUCCCUGUUCAGAAGCUUUCAGCUCUGUUCCCACAGGUCCAAACUCUAUGCCUUUCCUUUAAGUCUUCUAAUACUGAGACCAUCUUAUCCACUAAGUACUUCAGCUACUGAAUAUACCUCCCUCUGCUAAAUCAGGCCAUAUUCUUAGUGUCCUCUGAGCUUGUUAUAUCCACUUUUCUGCCAUGGUUUGUUGAGUGCCUAUUGUGGUUUCAGGGGAUUUCAGAUAGCACCUAUAUUUCCUACAUAUGUUCAGAACCCACUGAGAUAAUUGCAGGAGACAAACUCAUAAAGAGCAAAUUGUCAGCUUCAUUCCUGGUGGAAGCUGCAAUGGUGGCCAUGGCUUUAGACAUGCAGAAUCAAUGUACCCACUUCUAUUCCACCCCAGAAUGGAAAUUCUGUUUGUGUGUCUUGCAGUUUCUGGAUAGCAGAAAAAACAUCCUUCUUAGGGCAGCUUUGCUCUUGAGACUCAAGGGGUCAGACAGGCUUAGCUACUUUUUCAAUCAGACAAGACAUUCCCAUAUCCUUGUUAAAGAAGUAGGUGGGAAAUAGAUCUCCUUCCCUGAGCUACUCCGUUCCAGUCUGUACUAGGACAGAAGGGAGAUGUGUUGUAAAAGUGUUUGCUUCUGCCCUCUAAUAACACUUAGCAACACUUUUCAUCUCUUGCACAUAACUGCAUCCUCUCAGAAUCUGGCAUCAUCUUUUCUCUCUUCCGCCUUCUGUCUAAUCAAAUUGUGUUGUUUUUUACUCCAGGACCCAAGUAAAGUCUAAUUGCUUCGCUAGCCUGUUUUCUGACAAUAACUCGGCACACCGGAGAGCACCUCAGGAGUGAGAUCAAACAAACCCAGCUGUCACUCCUGUUGCUACCAUUUUAUUUAUUAGAUGUGUGACUUUCUUCAAAUUACUUAAGUUUUCUUAACUAAGAUUUCUGUAUCUGAUAAAUGGCAGAGGUAAUGCCUUGAAGAGGUUGUGAAAUUUAAAUGUGGUACCUCAGAAAAAGCCAGGCAGGUAGUAAUUUCCAUAAAUGGUAGUCAUUAUUGCAUUGAUCUGCUUUGCAUGUGAAUUGCCAUGGAAUUAUGUAUCUGGUACCUUCCCCCUAUUCAGCAUGUCUUAUUUUAUUUAAUCAUCACAACAAACUGAAAGAUUUUUUUAUUGCUUCCAUUUUCCAAAUAGGGGAAAUGAAGCUCAGAAAAAACUGGGUACUUGCCCACGAUUAUUAGCUAGGCAAGGAAAUGGAAACAGAAAGAAUUUAAGGACUUUGCCCAAGGACACACAAUAAGAGGUGGAUAUUACCUUACAUUCAUCAAAGUGACAAAAAUUAAACAAGUGGAUAAUGCCAACUGCUUCAAUCUUAUUUCAUCCCCCGGAUAGUGACUCUUGGGAGUACUGGCCCAUGCUGUCAGGAUGUUAAACUAGCUACAUUGCCAGCUCCAUCAUGACCUUGGACUAUACCUUAGGGGCAAGGAAGAAAGCCCUUUUCUGGAGUUGCUACAGAAUCCCCAGGACUCACUUAUGCAUACAUACAUGUAUGUAUGUAUGAAGAUUAGUAGGAAAAACAAAUAUUAGACCAAAUUGUGCCAUGUGGGAGUUUGGAGUGAAAAUAGAGAUGUUUCAAAUAGAUGCUUAUGUUGGCAAGAUUCUGCUUUAGUAAGGAAUUAAACAAAGAACUACUUUUUGUGUGUGAGCAACUAUGGAAAGGGAUAUUGGAAAUGAUACAUUUUUAAUAAUAAAUAACAUAUAAUGAAAGCAAUAUUUUCUAUGAGAACUGUGUCAGUGCUUUGAAUGGUGUGGACGGGAGGAUCAACAUAAGGUCCCUGUACCAUAUAUAGAGCAG